This 2296-nucleotide long non-coding RNA is filed under the name Setaria viridis. RNAcentral describes it as "long non-coding RNA (SVIR_LNC008985)". The record is from RNAcentral. Lineage: Eukaryota; Viridiplantae; Streptophyta; Magnoliopsida; Poales; Poaceae.
CCUCCUUUUAUAGUCGCGGAAGAGGCUUCUGGAGUUGCUUCGAGCUUAGGGCUUCUGGUGCCUUCAACUAUUCUCCUCUUCUGUUGCCUGGACACUUGGACGGGUCCGCGCUCCUCAAUAAUUGUCCUGGGUACAGUAGAGUUGCUGUUUAUUCUUUUUGCCUUGUCCUCUAUCGCGCACUGUCUCCUCGUGAUAUUCUGGAUGCUGCUCGAGCGACUCCGAAAAAUUUCGGAUUUCAAAUUUCGAGUUACUAUUCACAGUACUAUUCAUAUUCGGGAAUAUGAAUAGUGCCCGAGCACUCACCGGGAGUGGGUGGAGCACCUAUGGGUGGCGGCACUAUUCAGCCACUAUUCACUCACUAUUGCGCACUAUUGAGCUACUAUUCGGGGUCGCUUUCGGGGAUACGAGCACGCGCGGGUGCAUGAUUAGGUAUAUUCCUUAAUUAAGCCUAUUCUCAAGAUCUUUGCGGGUUGGCGAGACCGAAGAUUCAGCCGGUCGUGCUGCUAUGCUUGUGACAGUCCUACUCGGUACUCACCGCAUGCCUCGCUAGCUCGCUUCAGAACCAGGCCAGCCCGGUCUGCACCCUUACCGUCCCCAGCCACGCUCACACAGGACUCAGGCUCUACCGUCUCCCCAGGCAGUUCCACCUGAAGGGAACACUUCUCUGCGCACACAGGGUUUUCCUCAAACGCCGCUACUAGGGCUAACACGAGAACGACACACGCAGAGGUUUCUCCUCUAGGGUCCCUAGCGUAGAGACAUCGCCCCAUAAGAACGAGCUUAAAGGAGGGCAGGGAUGCUACCAGGACAGCUUAAUCCAUUUCCACGGGACAAGCUUACAUGCGGCUUUCCCUUUCGGGAAACCCCAAGCACUUAGCACAAACCUUGAUUACCUUACAAACCGAGGGACGAGCUCCAACGGCCUCCCUUUAUUCUAGUGGUGGUAGUACAGAGGAGGAGUAAUACAGCGGUAGAUUCUAAAAUAUGGUGGCUAAUUCCUUCUCUCUCAGAGAGUGGUGGUGGAUGUCUUCAUGAGUGGAGUGUGUCUUCGUGAUUCUCUGGUUUUCUGCUUCUCUGGUGGUUCGUUGUCUGAUGUCGUAGUGUGGCUCUGAUACCAGUAUUGGAAAACCGCGGUCGAGAGCGAGGGAACGAGCGACUCCGAAAAAUUUCGGAUUUCAAAUUUCGAGUUACUAUUCACAGUACUAUUCAAAUUCGGUGAACACUAUUCAAAUUCGCAGCACUAUUUAAAUUCAGCUCACUAUUCAAAUUCGGGAAUAUGAAUAGUGCCCGAGCACUCACCGGGAGUGGAUGGAGCACCUAUGGGUGGCAGCACUAUUCGGCCACUAUUCACUAACUAUUGCGCACUAUUGAGCUACUAUUCGGGGUCGCUUUCAGGGGAUACGAGCACGCGCGGGUGCGUGAUUAGGUAUAUUCCUUAAUUAAGCCUAUUCUCAGGAUCUUUGCGGGUUGGCGAGACCGAAGAUUCAGCCGGUUGUGCUGCUAUGCUUGUGACAGUCCUACUCGGUAAUCACCGCAUGCCUCGCUGGCUCGCUUCAGAACCAGGCCAUCCCGGACUGCACCCUCACCGUCCCCAGCCACGCUCACACAGGACUCAGGCUCUACCGUCUCCCCAGGCAGUUCCACCUGAAGGGAACACUUCUCUGCGCACACAGGGUUCUCCUCAAACGCCGCUACCAGGGCUAACACGAGAACGACACACGCAGAGGUUUCUCCUCUAGGGUCCCUAGCGUAGAGACAUCGCCCCAUAAGAACGAGCUUAAAGGAGGGCAGGGAUGCUACCAGGACAGCUUAAUCCAUUUCCAUGGGACAAGCUUACAUGCGGCUUUCCCUUUCGGGAAACCCCAAGCACUUAGCACAAACCUUGAUUACCUUACAAACCGAGGGACGAGCUCCAACGACCUCCCUUUAUUCUAGUGGUGGUAGUACAGAGGUGGAGUAAUACAGCGGUAGAUUCUAAAAUAUGGUGGCUAAUUCUUUCUCUCUCAGAGAGUGGUGGUGGAUGUCUUCAUGAGUGGAGUGUGGGUGGAGGUCUUCGGUGGUGGAGUGUGUCUUCGUGAUUCUUGGUGAUGCUCUGGUUGUGGUCUGGUUGAUGUCGUAGUGUGUUGCAUCCAAUGCUUCACCCGGUACCUCCUUUUAUAGUCGCGGCAGAGGCUUCUGGAGUUGCUUCGAGCUUAAGGCUUCUGGUGCCUUCAACUAUUCUCCUCUUCUGUUGCCUGGACACUUGGACGGCUGCCCGCUCCUCAAUAAUUGUCCUGGGUACAGUAGAGUUGCUGUU